This 253-nucleotide ribosomal RNA is filed under the name uncultured bacterium. RNAcentral's name for it is "partial 16S ribosomal RNA". It matches the Rfam family "Bacterial small subunit ribosomal RNA", at positions 524 to 776 of the family's 1533-position model. The record is from RNAcentral.
CACGGGGGGAGCAAGCGUUGUUCGGAAUCACUGGGCGUAAGGGGCGUGUAGGCGGUCAGGUAAGUGAGACGUGAAAUGCCCCGGCUUACCCGGGGACCUGCGUCUCAUACUGCUUGGCUUGAGUACGGGAGAGGGUGUGGGAAUUCCUGGUGUAGCGGUGAAAUGCGUAGAUAUCAGGAGGAACACCGGUGGCGAAGGCGCACACCUGGCCCGAUACUGACGCUGAGGCGCGAAAGCUAGGGGAGCAAACGGG